AUAUAAUUGGAAACUUAAUUUAUGACACAGCUGAUCUUGCUGAUAACAGAAGAUAGAAAGAAAUUUUUAAAUAGUGCUGAAAUAACUGAUCAUGCAUGUGAAAAUGUCAAAACUGAAAUGUUACCUUACAUAUAUAAUAUAUUAUCUAAUAUAUUUGGAGCAACAAGUCACUCCAAAAACUUAGGGCUCAAAACAAUAAUAAAUAUCUUUUUGACACCGUUUCUGUAGGUCAGAAAUUCAGGAAGAGCUUCUCUGGCAGUUCUGUCUUGAGUUUCUAAUGAGGUUGCAGUGGAGAUGUCAGGUGCCACAGUCUUCUGAAGGCUUGACUGAGACUAGAGCAUGCACUUCUCAGAUGGCUUUUACCCACAUGGCUGUUACCAGCCAGUUCCUCACUGCUUCUUGGCUCAGUUUCAGCUCCUAGCCACAUGGAUGGCUCCAUAGUGCUGCUUGAAUGUCCUCAUGACACAGAAGUUGGCUUCCCUCAUAGCUAGAAAUAAAAAAGAGAGGACAGGUGGAAAUUACGUAUGAGAUUUCUGGAUAAUUGUAACCUUUGCAAGGUCAAGUGAAAGCUGCCAGCAGUUGAAAUUAAUCUACUGUUUUCUUCAAAAUCAGGAUAUUCACAGUUAGGAACCUAUGCCCUGAGGUCCCAUCUGGGCAAGAUGGCAAGCCAGGCAUCAGCUUUAUCCUCUAAAUAAAGUUCCAGUCUUUUUUCUUGUCCCUUUGCUGUUAGAAUCACUGGUGGCCUUACCACUAACCUUCCUUCUCCUCACUCCUUAUCUUCAACUUACUUCUUGCGGGUACUCUUUGUACUUUUGUCAUGGGGAACCAGGGCCACUGAAACCAUAAUAAGCUUUAGUAAAACAAGGUCCCAGGUGCUCUGGCCUUCUUACGUUUUACCUCCCCCUCUUCUUUUAAAUAACCAAAUACAG
This 929-nucleotide long non-coding RNA is filed under the name Homo sapiens (human). RNAcentral describes it as "HSALNT0187808". The record is from RNAcentral. Lineage: Eukaryota; Metazoa; Chordata; Mammalia; Primates; Hominidae.